RNAcentral lists this ribosomal RNA (447 nucleotides) under uncultured bacterium. RNAcentral describes it as "bacterial SSU rRNA". It matches the Rfam family "Bacterial small subunit ribosomal RNA", at positions 28 to 513 of the family's 1533-position model. The record is from RNAcentral.
GACGAACGCUGGCGGUGUGCUUCACACAUGCAAGUCGAACGAGGUAGCAAUACCUAGUGGCGGACGGGUGAGUAACGCGUGGGAAUCUGCCUUUAGAUGGGGGAUAACGGGUCGAAAGACUCGCUAAUACCGCAUAUGACGAAAGUUGAAAGGAGUAAUCCGUCUAAAGAUGAGCCCGCGUCCGAUUAGCUAGUUGGUAGAGUAAAAGCCUACCAAGGCGACGAUCGGUAGCUGGUCUGAGAGGAUGAUCAGCCACAAUAGGGACUGAGACACGGCCCAUACUCCUACGGGAGGCAGCAGUGGGGAAUUUUACGCAAUGGGCGAAAGCCUGACGUAGCGACACCGCGUGAGCGAAGAAGCCCCCUUUGGGGUGUAAAGCUCUGUCAGCUGGAACGAAAAAAAAUGACGGUACCAGCAGAGGAAGCAUCGGCUAACUACGUGCCAGCA